Molecule: long non-coding RNA, 1712 nt
Organism: Chinchilla lanigera (long-tailed chinchilla)
Lineage: Eukaryota; Metazoa; Chordata; Mammalia; Rodentia; Chinchillidae
Exons: 2
Source: RefSeq, a predicted model, not a curated record
CAGGGCCUUCCUACUGAGCCAUACCCCCAGCCCUGUGUAUUUUCUGAGCCAGGGUUUCGAACUUGGGACCUUCCUCCCUCAGCCUGCCAGCGUGCUGGUGUUCCAGGUUUGCACCACCUCGCCCCGCUGGGUUCUAGCUAUUCCAGAUCGCUGGGGCUACAGCGACGGAUUUCACGUCUCCUCCCCCGCUUACCCGUAAAAUACAAAAAACCACCUCAGUAACAUUAGAACCUGUCACCAAACUGAGAAAUUAACGGUUACCUCCCACACCUCCUGUUACACGGCUAGAAUGUAACACUGGAGUUCAAAUGAGAUCCCAAUCCAGGGCCCAAUCGCUAUCCUAGUCUUUCCAGAGCGGUCUGUUCCAGCCCGAGAGAAACACCAGGGCCUGAACUCUUAGCCUGGUAACGUUCUUCUCUCAAAAGACUGCUUUUCGAGCCGGCGCACACUUUGCAACCCCGGCACCGGGAGGCUGGGUAGGAGGAUCACCACACGUUGGAGGCCGGCCUGAACGGCACAGCAAGACCCUGUCUCCAAACAACGAAGAAAUUUAAAAACUUCUUUUGCUGCUUUUUUAACUUCCCACUCCUCCAAAUUCUGAUUCAAACUGCUAAACUGAUACCCGAGGUGUACAGAAAAAGAACACUUGAGCUAAAAGCGGCCCACAACCCAGUUCUAUCACAGAUGGCUAAAAUGCAAACAUCCCCGAGGCGCUGAAUUUAGUAAUCUGGCGCGCCAAUCUACCCUACUUUGGGCUCAAUAUUUCACACAUGCUGCAGCUCUAGUAACAACGCUCAAAGAACACUUGUUGAUUGGCUAGUACAUUAUGCCGCGAAGGGGCGUUAGGUAGUGCUUAGAAAUACCAUUCACUGUGUAUCCACGAGACUGCAGUCUCGAGAACUAUUCGUUACUUGAAGCACUCAAUUAACAGUGACUCCAACAGUGAUUCGUCAGCAGUAUAAAGCAGUGGUGUUCCUGUUUGUAUUGAAGAUUAAACUAAAAACGUCUCCGCAGUGUUAUGUGAGAACAGAUGCGAAGCAAAUGUUAAUCUUCCAGUCUUAAGACACCAGUUUAAAAUGUGCACUUCCCAAAUAAACCGUUAAAAGCACACGACAGCACGUUGUUCUGCAUUAGUACUGCACUUCAGGAGGAAAUUCCAAGUUGGAGAGGCAUGCAGACCUUUUUUGGCGGCAAGAAAGUAAAUUUAACCCUGUUCUCUCCAUCAUUCCAGCCUUUCCCUAAAAGGCGGGCUAGGACCCGGAUCACAUGACCACGCCUCCAACUCCGGGCGGAAGAGCCCAGCUGGGACAAAGACAAGCGUCCCGAGGGCGUGUGGGAGGGCGUUCGUGCCCGGCUCAAACAUGGCUGCUGCCGCGGGGCAGCCAGCGCCCGAGAGGCUCCUCUAGAGCCCGCAGUUUUCGCCCGUUCCCGCCGAGCGUCUCCUCCUUACCAUGAGGCCGGUGAGCCGCCGCACCCUGGACUGGAUUUAUUCAGCGGUUCUGCUUGCUGUCGUUUUACUCUCCUGGGGAUACGUCAUCUACGCAUCAACGGUAGUUGCGCAGCGACAGCUAAGGAAGAAAUACCCAGACAAAGUCUUCUGGAUGGAUGAAAACCUGUAACUUCUAGGUUUACCUCUCUCCAAGUACAGUUUCUGCCCUCAUGCUUAUGUACUCUGUAGGCUUAAAAUGUGUAAUACAGAAUUCCCAAAUUUA